AAAUACCUUCCCCCAUUUAAAUAAUUUUCCAACUUUUGUGGAUUUUAGUUUGAGGUCUUCAUCUCAACCCACCUAUGAGUUCAUCUGGGUGUGAUAGUGAAAAGGGAAGAUCUUCUGCAGAAGCAGCUGUGGUUUGGACCAGCUACUGCUCCAGUCUGUUCAGUAUAAUAGAGGUGACUUCUCUGUUUUAUGUAUCUGCUUUCCGUGCAGUGAGACCAGCAUAGCAAGCCUUAGCACUUAAGCAGUGCUGCCGUUAUCAUCUACCUGCGUGUCCAAUGGGGUUUGGUAUCGACUGAAUUUGAAGACUUUCUGAUAGAGGCAGGCAAUGCUGCGAUGAUGGUUUCUAUGGAAACAAGUGUGAGAUGAGAAGCAACUAAUAAGAGCUCAACUCAGCCAGCUCCUGGAUGGAUUUGCUGACAGAGCCCCAAAGUUGCCAGAGGCCAUCCUCAUCUCGUUACGUGCUCUUUCUGCAGAUGGUUGGGGCUGGUGGGACGAUUGCUGCCCCUCCUCGAGGGACUCCACACCAAGCGCUGCAGGCCUCUGGGCUGAGACACAGUGGAUGAUUGAUUGUACCCGCCAGCUGGCUAAUAUCAUAAUUAACAAAGUUGCUACCAUGUCUGAGAAGUUUAAUCGAAAAAAUUGCUGGCAGUAUGAUACCAUUGUCACAGAGAUCACAAGCCCUGCAGUGUCGACUUUUGUACUGUUGGAGCCACAGGACUAUGUAGAUGUGCAGAGAAGUCGUUCGCUGGGAUAA
This 754-nucleotide long non-coding RNA is filed under the name Coturnix japonica (Japanese quail). Its description in RNAcentral is "lncRNA (ENSCJPG00005005064.1)". The stretch from base 558 to 754 matches the Rfam family "Rhabdomyosarcoma 2 associated transcript conserved region 6". The record is from RNAcentral. Lineage: Eukaryota; Metazoa; Chordata; Aves; Galliformes; Phasianidae.